Molecule: ribosomal RNA, 460 nt
Filed under: uncultured bacterium
Lineage: Bacteria
Description: partial 16S ribosomal RNA
Rfam family: Bacterial small subunit ribosomal RNA
Source: RNAcentral
CCUACGGGUGGCUGUAGUGAGGAAUAUUGGUCACUGGACGCAAGUCUGAACCCGCCAUGCCGCGUGCAGGAUGACGGCUCUAUGAGUUGUACACUGCUUUUGUACGAGGGUAAACCCCGAUACGUGUAUCGGGUUGAAAGUAUCGUACGAAUAAGGAUCGGCUAACUCCGUGCCAGCAGCCGCGGUAAUACGGAGGAUCCGAGCGUUAUCCGGAUUUAUUGGGAUUAAAGGGUGCGUAGGCGGUUUGAUAAGUUAGAGGUGAAAGGUCGGGGCUCAACCCCGAAACUGCCUCUAAUACUGUUGGACUAGAGCAUAGUUGCGGUAGGAGGAAUGUAUGGGGUAGCGGUGAAAUGCUUAGAGAUAAUACAGAAAACCGAUUGCGAAGGCAGCUUACCAAACUAUAUCUGACGUUGAGGCACGAAAGCGUGGGUAGCAAACAGGAUUAGAUACCCGAGUAGUC